GCUCCCUUCCAGGUAAAGGAAAAGGAGUGGGCACCUGACCAAAACAGCCAAUGGGAAGCUAGAACUUUUUAAAAUGGGGGGAAAAAACCUUCCUUUUUGUCUGUUGUUCUCUGGAGGAGGAGACACAGAGCAUCAAUGCUACAAGCAGUAAUGCGAUGUAAGGCUUGAACCAGAUAUAAAAAUUCAUCUUCCAUACCUAGAAGAAAUCAUUGGACAAGAUGGAAGAUUUGGCCACCGGAAGCCUGCCGCUGUGUCACUCGAGAGCCACACUCAGCUUUGAUACAGCUUCAGUUCCAGCUCUGCUGUAUUCUCAAGAGAAUGUUUGUUGUCAACAAUCUGGCUAUUAUGAUUCCACUACCUUUAUGUAUGAAGCUAUUGUGGCCCCUUUUUGACCCAAGAUGUUUUGGGGCCCUGGGGAUGUUCCAGUUGGUAGGGGAAAUUGAUGGUACUGAAAAUAAUGUUAAGAGUAAUUUCUUAUGCAUAAAUUUGGACAUUUUUCCAACAGGCUGACUUUGUUUGGCCUGGGUGUUGUGAUUAAAAGUUGCUAUAUGGAAUAUGGUGGCAAGCUUAAAUUCAACCAAAUGUACUGCCAAGAGACAAUUAAAGGAAAAAUAGGCAAAAAGCCCCUAUGCAGAGAAACAGGUCAAGGUGACCUGGCCAAAUUUGCACAGAUAUGUAUAAUCAGUGGUAAUAAACCCAUCAGAAGUAAGAAUAACCAAAUGAAAUUAGCAAAAGCAGCAAAAGUUACAUGCCAAUUAAAGUUCAUGCAUGCAUAUUAUAUGUUGCAUGUAAUACUUAAUAUUCAUAAUACCAAAUGUUUUUGGAAGAUAAAUAAUAAAUAUGUAAUUAGCAUGUUUGAUAAAAUGUGUUGGGUGGACAGGGUAGUUGGAGUUCGUAGGAGACAUCCAUCAUGACCCACCUACGUCCCAGGAGAAGGUAACUGGCCAUUACUCUUUUUCUAUAUGUCUGUCAUUUCUUACCUUUAAGUAGUAGUAGUAAUUGUCAUUGCAAGGAAUGCUUCUGGUUAAAAUAAAGGUUUGAAUUAAUAAA
Molecule: long non-coding RNA, 1050 nt
Organism: Chrysemys picta bellii (western painted turtle)
Lineage: Eukaryota; Metazoa; Chordata; Testudines; Emydidae
Source: RefSeq, a predicted model, not a curated record